Molecule: non-coding RNA, 1076 nt
Organism: Dermacentor albipictus
Lineage: Eukaryota; Metazoa; Arthropoda; Arachnida; Ixodida; Ixodidae
Source: RefSeq, a predicted model, not a curated record
GGGAACCUCCGCUCCAAUGGGAAGACUAGCGACGCGGCAGGCAUCUAGUAAAGGAGGCAUUGAUAUGGCAUAUGGCAGGCUCGGAGUGCACGAAGCGGUGGGUCGCUUAUUUUUCGGGCUUUUGCUUCUCGGACCGCCACACCGGCCAGCCAGUGCUACAGUGUCCUAAUGCAGAGAACGUAUAUUACACGGAACUGCGCUCCUUCAGAGUUAUUUAGAGUCUUUGUCAGAAGCACGUAACAGUAACAUUACUUGGUUACGGUGCUGCUACAUGGCAGAAUAUUUGAAUGGCAGAUGUCCCGAGUGCGGCAUCUCCAGCUUCUUGAGACGGGCAUGUGGUAGUGCCACGAGUGGGAGGACGUACCGCAGGCGUGAGGUGGCUACUGCAUGGUACAGCCGCAGAGCCCACCUAGUGGUGCAGCUCUGUCCUCGGGCAACAAGCUGGGAGACUGCCUUGUGGACCCGGAGGACCUGGACAUGCAGGGUCUUGACAGCAGGCAGCCAGGUCAGCCGGUGAUGAACGUGUAGCCCCGGGUACGUCACUGCCGGGCUUCAAGGUCGCCUUCCACUUGCAGCUGUGCAGCGGGCGGUUGCUCUUGGGUGGAGCAGCAUGGCCUCCGUCUUCCUUGCCGAGAUGGCAAGGCCAAUGCUGCUCAGGGGUCAGUCUGCAGGACAGCAGGCAGUCGGGCCAGGUUGAACAGGAAAGGGCUCACCACUGAUCCUUGUGGGACGCCCUCUACCAAAUAGGUCCAGGGCCUGCUGAACGACUGCAUAGGGCAGGCCGUCAAAGGCCCCCUUCAUGCCGAUAAGCACCAGGAGCACGGCGUCACCGCAGGCCUUGGCCUCUUCCAGCGUGGAGACCACGUCCACGAUGGAGUCCGCACUGCAUCAGCUCCGCCGGAAGCCUAUCUGCUCAUCGGCCAGAAAGCAAUGGCCUCCAUCAGCUUGCAAGCAGCAGAGGAAGCCAUCAUCUGGUGCUGUGUACAGCAAGCACAUGCUUCGGGCAAGGAGGGAGCCAGCACCAUAUCUACAUCAGCAAGAACCUCGGUGCUCAAAAUAAACAUUUUCUGUGCAAA